Molecule: transfer RNA, 70 nt
Filed under: Ochthebius difficilis
Lineage: Eukaryota; Metazoa; Arthropoda; Insecta; Coleoptera; Hydraenidae
Description: transfer RNA-Leu
Source: RNAcentral
UAUUGUUAUUUUGGCAGAUUAGUGCAUUAAAUUUAGAAUUUAAUUAAGUAAUAAUUAUUACAAAUAAUAC